CUCUUCUGGAGAUUUGUGCUCCGGAGCUUUGCAGUGAGCCCAGGAUGGUUGCAGCACUUGCAACACACAGGACUCUGAUGCCUGGCAGUCAAUUGGAUGCAACCAGUGCUGCUUUGAACAGGGCAGGACUGGAGACAACCUAGCACGUGGCACACAAAAUGGCACCCACUGAUAUUCAUCAGCACUUACUGAAUGUUUCUGGAGACCAAACAGUGGAUGUGAGCACGGUGAGGCUAUGGGUGGUAUGUUUCAGCAGUGGCAACACUGACUGUGCGUCACCUCUGCUGGUGCGGAUG
Lagopus muta (rock ptarmigan) is the source of this 296-nucleotide long non-coding RNA. RefSeq lists it as uncharacterized. The transcript is spliced from 3 exons. Lineage: Eukaryota; Metazoa; Chordata; Aves; Galliformes; Phasianidae. The record is from RefSeq and is a predicted model, not a curated record.